ACGUUCUCACUUGAAGAUUUUUGAAUAGCUACAUUAUUUUGGAGGUUGAAAGGGUGGCAAUAAUUAGCUAUAAUUUGUAUCACCACAAAGUCAGCCCCUCACUACCCUUUUCAAGAAAUCCUUAGAAUGUCUACAGUUGUGACCUCAGAUUAAAGUCUCUGACAAAGUCAAAGGCGUGGAUAGGAAGGAUCACGUGGUGGUGACAUUAUCACGGGAAGUAUCUGCCACACACUGAACAUUUUUGAGGUGAUACUGCUUGAACUCUUGACAUGGAAUUAGUGAAGGAUCUUAAUUGCCAAGUGAGUGUCGAGUGUUAUUUUUCGGCGAGUGAGGUUUUGGCGAAGCAUGAUGAGAAGUAUAUGCCGGCGGAAGUGGCAAAUGCGAUUGAGAAGAAUAAGAAGAAGCUUGCGGAAGAAGCGGGUGGGCGGAUUGAAGGACGGGAGGAUGCUGCUGCUGCUGUUCCGGCCGCGUAAAUUUUUGUACGUGUUUUCGGGUAUGUGUUACUAACCGACUGCCCGCUUCUAUUUUUCAAAGGAAGGUUUUAUAUAUAUGAAUGGAAUUAUACUAUGAUUGAAGUAGAUUAAUUAUAAGGAGGAUAAAUUGUUAGUCGGGAAUGAAAAAAGGGUGCGCGAUUACACCGGGGCUUUUUGGAUUGAUUAUUGUUGUAGGUUUCAUGGUUUUUACUGUUCUGAUUCUAUUGGGCAUAUUGUUCAGAUUGUAUUGAUUGGAUUUUGAUGA
Helianthus annuus (common sunflower) is the source of this 738-nucleotide long non-coding RNA. RefSeq lists it as uncharacterized. Lineage: Eukaryota; Viridiplantae; Streptophyta; Magnoliopsida; Asterales; Asteraceae. The transcript is spliced from 3 exons. The record is from RefSeq and is a predicted model, not a curated record.